This 467-nucleotide ribosomal RNA is filed under the name uncultured bacterium. RNAcentral describes it as "partial 16S ribosomal RNA". It matches the Rfam family "Bacterial small subunit ribosomal RNA", at positions 28 to 507 of the family's 1533-position model. The record is from RNAcentral.
GACGAACGCUGGCGGCGUGCUUAACACAUGCAAGUCGAACGGAAAGGCUCCAGCUUGCUGGAGUACUCGAGUGGCGAACGGGUGAGUAACACGUGGGUAAUCUGCCCUGCACUCUGGGAUAAGCCUGGGAGACUGGGUCUAAUACUGGAUAUGACCUUUCUCCUUAUGGGGUUUGGUGGAAAGUUUUUCGGUGUAGGAUGAGCCCGCGGCCUAUCAGCUUGUUGGUGGGGUGAUGGCCUACCAAGGCGACGACGGGUAGCCGGCCUGAGAGGGUGAUCGGCCACAUUGGGACUGAGAUACGGCCCAGACUCCUACGGGAGGCAGCAGUGGGGAAUAUUGCACAAUGGGCGGAAGCCUGAUGCAGCGACGCCGCGUGAGGGAUGACGGCCUUCGGGUUGUAAACCUCUUUCAGCAGGGACGAAGCGUAAGUGACGGUACCUGCAGAAGAAGCACCGGCUAACUAUGUG